Molecule: non-coding RNA, 428 nt
Organism: Anolis sagrei ordinatus
Lineage: Eukaryota; Metazoa; Chordata; Lepidosauria; Squamata; Anolidae
Source: RefSeq, a predicted model, not a curated record
UCCCCACCUGCUUCCCCUGUGCUUGCCACAGAAAUAUACCUAAUAAGCAGAGCACCGUGCAGGAGAACCUAUAGCGCAAAGCCAUCGCAACAACACAUGGCUCAUGCAGGAGAGACAGAGCGGCAGUCAUCCCUGCUUGCCAAGUGUUCAUUUCCCUUUCAACAAGAACCAAACAGACUGGGAUGCAAUUUUUCCAGAGCAAACACAACCAGAUGGAGAAGAGCAAAGGUGCUGUUUGAUUUCCAUCCAACUCCUACAAGCUGAUGAAAAAUAUGCUACCAUCUCAGCAAAACUUCAGUUCAAGGGAUCGUUGUAUUUGACCACAUUUCUGAAAAUGUAACUUUUGAACAAAUAGUUUAAAAGUGCAAUACAAACCCCCACAAUGUAUGGGCCAUGCUAGGAAAUAAAAGGCAGACAUCAAAUUUCAA